RNAcentral lists this long non-coding RNA (2187 nucleotides) under Mus musculus (house mouse). Its description in RNAcentral is "predicted gene 5820". The record is from RNAcentral. Lineage: Eukaryota; Metazoa; Chordata; Mammalia; Rodentia; Muridae.
AAGCGAGCCAGUAAUGAACAUCCCUCCAUGGCCUCUGCAUCAGCUCCUGCUUUCUGGCCUGCUUGAGUUCCAGUCCUGACAUCCUUUGGGUGAUGAACAGCAAUGUGGAAAAUAAGCUAAGCCUGAAUUUUACAGCUCGACUGGAAUGAAUACAGCAACCUUUAUUUAUUCAAGCAACAGACUAGUUCCUGGAGAGUUACUGGCAGCACAAGGCAUCAGAUGGCAAGAGAGACACAUGACAGAGUCAGAGCUGACUGGCGGCUUGGAAAGACCCAACCUGAGUUGUUGGCUGGGAAGACCACCUCUACACCAUCCUCACUCAGGUAUGUGGUCCGAAGCAGCUCCAAGGCUGCUUGCCUUGGAGGGGAAAGAUGCUUGCCAACACACUGGAAGUUACUUUUCACAUUUCUGUGGACAAAGAAAGUCACCUACGUGGCACUACUGUACAGAAAGCAAGGAUUACUGGAACAAAGAUGUAAUUAUUCAAAUAUGCUCUUGAUCUCCCAUGGCAUGGUCUCUAUCAUCACAAAAGGAUCAUUCUUAGUGGCUUUAUAAGAAUGGAAACUAUGGUAUCAUUAUCAUAUAGAACACUCUAUCAAAGAUCUUGAUUUGCAGAGACUCCGGGUUCGCUGUAAAGUUGAACAGACCGGCUCACUUCAGCAACACAAAGGAUUCACUAUAAGGCUGUGGGUUACUUAUGGAUCCCUAGGGAAAGCUGGGGUGAGGGAAAGAGAGAGAAUGAAACAAAACAAAACAAUAAACCUAGAUUUCAGAAGGCACGGGGCAGAAAUGAAGAGACUCUCAAAUUUAAUUUCCUGUGAGUGAGAGAAUCUGAUUGGCUAAACUGGACGCAACAGAGCCUUUUGAUUGACAGUCCUACACCUGAGGUGUGGCCCCCAGUAGGAUGAGAGAGUGGGAAGAAUCUCCAGAGAGCUUCUGGGUCAGUGAGCUAAUGCAGGGGCCACUGAGGUCUGAAUAAAAGUGCUUUGUCCCAGUGCCAGUUGGUGGCAGAAAUGAAAUCUCUUUGUCUUUUCUGCAUGGCUUUCCUUGUUGCAAAUUGGAUCUAGGGUUGUUUAUGUUGGGCAAACACUCUACCUCUGAACUACAUCUCUAGCCCAGAAACAAAACCUUCUGUUACAGCCACAUGGGAGACUUAAAAACAAUUUUAUUUCCAGCUUGCCAAAGCAAUGGUUCAGAGAUCUGUAAGAUUAGGAUUAUCUAUGACAGUUGUUAAACUAAGAAAGUUACUCCCCAAGAGUCAUGGAAUAUCUAACAAAAAGUCCCAGUGCCAGGCAUGCAAAAUCCUAUUUCCAAUGGUUGGUCAUAGGGGUCCAAGAGACACCCUUCCCCCCCCCCCAAAUAGGCUAUGUCUCUUGUCUCUGUUUGCUUUCCAGAAGUUGAAGGUAAAUCCCUAUUGUUGAAGAUGCCAUGCACUUCAGGCACAGCACUCAAGAGACCAAGCUAUAUGUAACCUUGAAGACCAGCUUUCAUAUUACCUGCAGGAACUAUACAAGCUGCCAAGGAAGGGAAGCCAUUAAUAGUCCUACCUAGCUAUGGCACCAACGAACCACAACAAUAACCAGCAUGGCAUGAUAACCCUAAGGGCGCAGUAGUGGCACACAUAUCCUGGUGGUAACCAACAGCUCUCUAAUUGGACUUAAGAACUGCUCAAAGGGCCAGGGGAGAUUAUGCAUGGUACUGAGAACUUAGCCAACUACUCACUCGGGGCUAGUAAGAUCAUGGUUGCUGAAGGAGAAACUACAACUGCUACUUUACUAAACCAACAUGAUUCCUGACUGCAUUCUAAAUAUUUAAUUCUUAUACUCACCCCUCAUACAAAGAAACUUCUCUUUGCAACAGAUCAAGACCAUUAAAGAAAACUACAACUGCUAAAAAUGCAGAGAACAAUUGAUUAAGGAGUAACCAGUCCCAGUUGAUGUUUUUAACAAUACAACAAAAUGCUCAAGAAACAUCAUAGCAAAGGGGAGGGGAGAGUCUUUGUAGUUUAGGGCACUAGGAAAGGAAGAGCUGAGAAAACAGGCUGAGCAAGUCAGAAAGAGCAAGCAGGGAAGCAGCACUCCUUGGUGGUCUCUGCUCUAGUCCCUGCCUCCAGUUUCCUCACCUGACUUCCCUCAGAGAUGGAGGAUGACCAGAGAGUUUUAAAAUGAAAUAAACCCUUUCCUUCCC